This 117-nucleotide ribosomal RNA is filed under the name Gouania willdenowi (blunt-snouted clingfish). The record is from RNAcentral. Lineage: Eukaryota; Metazoa; Chordata; Actinopteri; Blenniiformes; Gobiesocidae.
ACUCGUGGCCAUACCAACCUGUCAUUCCCCAAUCCCAUUAGAUCUCUGAAGCUAAGCAGGUCUGGGCCUGGUUAGUAGUUGGAUGGAAGACCACUGAGAAUUCCAGGUGCCACAGUC